GCGAUUCGGCAUGGUCUGAUUUUAUUUUGUUUUUUGUUGUUUAUUUGUGUUAUUACUUAUUGUUAAUUGAAGUGUCAUUAUUUGUUGUUGUAGUUUUUUGAUUUAAUUUUUAGUGCGAUAGUUUAUUUGUACUGUGAGGGGUUGAUUUAAUUGUUUUGUUAAAAGUUGGCUUUGUUUGUUGUACCUUGUGUAUCAGGGUUUAUUGAAUUUUAUUAUUUAUUUUUAUUUCCCGAUUUUGAAGGAGUUAAUGGUUUAUGUUAGUUACUGUUUUAUUAGUAUUAAUAAUUGGCUGUUGGUAGUGAAAUGUUAUUCGUUUUUGGUGGUUUCUGGUUUUUCAAGAAAUGAAUUUAAUUCAUGCUCUUUAUUUAAAAUUUAUUGUUUAUUGAUUUUUUUUUAUUUGGUGUUAAGAUUAAGGGGGAUUAGCUCUUUAUUUUAUUUUUAUAACUUGUUUAUUGAUUUAGUUUUGUGGAUUUUAUGGUGAUUUUCGAUUUGAUUAUGUUAAAAUUUUGUUUGUUCAUUUUUUUAUUUUUUUUAGUUUAGUGGUUAUAUUGGAAUGUUUUCUUUAUUUUGUUUUGUGUAGUAAUUAUUGUGGAAUUAGUAAAUUUAUUUUUUGUUUUGUUUAUUUUGAUGUUAAUUUCUUUUAAGGAAUUAGGCAAAUUUUUUCAUGUCCGCCUGUUUAACAAAAACAUCUUUUCUUGUUAGUUUUUGAAGUAUGGCCUGCCCGCUGAUGGGUUAGUAUUAUUGAAGGGCCGCGGUAUUUUGACCGUGCAAAGGUAGCAUAGUCAUUAGUUCUUUAAUUGUGAUCUGGUAUGAAUGGCUUGACGAGAUGUGCUGUCUUUGGUGUUGAAUUAUUUUAUUGAAUUUGGUUUUUGAGUUAAAAUUCUUAGAUGUGUUUAUGGGACGAGAAGACCCUAUAGAGUUUGACAGUUAUUGUGUAUUUUUGCUUGUUUGUUUUUGUAUUAUUGUGUAAUUUUCUGUUUUGUUGGGGUGAUGGGAGGAAUGUUCUUAACUCCUCUUUUUUGUGGUAUAUUGAUUUGUAUUUAUUUUGAUCCAUUUAUUUUGAUUAUAAGAUUAAAUUACCUUAGGGAUAACAGCGUUAUCUUCCUUGAGAGUUCUUAUUGGCAGGGGGGUUUGCGACCUCGAUGUUGGAUUAAGGUUAAUUUUUGGUGUAGGAGCUGAAUAGUUGAUUGGGUCUGUUCGACCUUUAAAAUCUUACAUGAUCUGAGUUCAAACCGGCGUGAGCCAGGUUGGUUUCUAUCUAUAAUUAGUUUUUAUGCCUUAGUACGAGAGGACCGGGUAUUUGGAAUAAUUUUGUGUUAUUGUAUGUUAUUAAUUUUUUACUAUUUUGGCAGAUAAGUGCAUUGGAUUUAGAAUCUAUU
Molecule: ribosomal RNA, 1379 nt
Filed under: Pseudacanthotermes militaris
Lineage: Eukaryota; Metazoa; Arthropoda; Insecta; Blattodea; Termitidae
Description: 16S ribosomal RNA
Rfam family: Archaeal large subunit ribosomal RNA (bases 894-1264)
Source: RNAcentral